This 485-nucleotide ribosomal RNA is filed under the name uncultured bacterium. Its description in RNAcentral is "partial 16S ribosomal RNA". It matches the Rfam family "Bacterial small subunit ribosomal RNA", at positions 899 to 1397 of the family's 1533-position model. The record is from RNAcentral.
ACUCAAAUGAAUUGACGGGGACCCGCACAAGCGGAGGAUGAUGUGGUUUAAUUUGUCGAUACGCGGAGAACCUUACCAAGGCUUGACAUCCUAGGAACCCACUGGAAACAGAGGGGUGCCCUCGGGAGCCUAGUGACAGGUGCUGCAUGGCCGUUGUCAGCUCGUGUCGUGAGAUGUUGGGUUAAGUCCCGCAACGAGCGCAACCCUUGUCGUAUGUUGUAUUUUUCAUACGAGACUGCCCGGGCCAACCGGGAGGAAGAUGGGGAUGAAUUCAGGUCAGCAUGGCCCUUACGCCUUGGGCUACACACGUCAUACAAUGGCCAGUACAACGCGUCGCUAAGCCGUGAGGCGGAGCUAAUCGCACCAAAACUGGUCUCAGUUCGGAUUGGAGGCUGCAACUCGCCUCCAUGAAGUCGGAUUCGCUAGUAAACGUGGGUCAGCACACCACGUUGAAUACGUUCCCGGGUCUUGUACACACCGCCCGU